Molecule: non-coding RNA, 756 nt
Organism: Camellia sinensis
Lineage: Eukaryota; Viridiplantae; Streptophyta; Magnoliopsida; Ericales; Theaceae
Source: RefSeq, a predicted model, not a curated record
AUUUUCCCCCAUAAAACCAGAGACCAGACCACGGUUUUUACCCAUGUUAUUGCAAGCACCAAGCACAGCCACACUCAGCUGCAGCGCACCACAAACACAACAGCUGCACCAGACCGACCCACUCACAGCAGCAGUGCAGUGCAACAGCUUUCGGAGCUCCGGCAAGUAUUGCAUAGUUGUCUUCUUCUCCGGCACAAACCUCCGACGAAUAAGACACUAUCAAAAAGAUCCCUCUCCUCAAAGAAAAAGGCAAUAAUCAAAGCACAAUAGAAACAUCCACCAUAGCUCCGACAGUUAAGAAGUUUCGCUGGUCCGUCACAUUCCAGUCCCCAAACCAGAACAUGGGACAGUGGAACUUGCUUAGUUCCCAAGUUCUUGCUUGAUAGACACCAUAUCCUCAGAUCUUGGCUCCGCCAUUGCCCAUAGGCUACAACUAGGGGUGUGCAUAAUACCGUCGAAACCGCUAAAACCGCACCGAACCACACCGCCAAGGCAAAUUCGUUAUUAUUUGCCAAUUGAACCGCCGGUUUUUGGUACUAGAGAAGCACUACUGCAAUUUCUGUAGGUAAUUCUUGUUUCCUAAUAUAAAUGCAGCCUGUUAUAAGGCAGAAACAUCAACAGGCUGUGUUGGUGUUCUGUAAUUAGCCUUCUCAAUUUCAAGCACAAGACAAUAUUGCACCUGUGUGUGUGUCAAACAUAGGCUUGGUGAGUAUAGAUAUGUUUUUUGGUCAAAUGGUAAUGGUAGUUUAGUUAUCA